AACGAACGCUGGCGGCAUGCUUAACACAUGCAAGUCGAACGAAAACUCCGGGUCUAGUUGCGCACGGGUGGGUAACGCGUGGGAACCUGCCCUUGGGUUACGAAUAACUCCCCGAGAGGUGUGUUAAUACCGGCUGGUGUCUUCGGACCAACGACUUAUCGCCUUUGGGUGGGCCCGCGUUGGUUUAGCUAGUUGGUAGGGUAAUAGCCUACCAGUGCGACGAUCCAUAGCUUGUCUGAGAGGCUGAUCCACCGCACUGGGCCUGAGACACGGCCCCGACUGCUACGGGGGGCAGCGGUGGGGAAUACUGGACGAUGGACGCAAGCCUGGUCCAGCCGUGCCGCGGGUGUGAUGCUUCCCUUGGCAUUGUGAAUCUCUCUUACCCGGAAUGAUAAUGACGGUACCGGGAGAAUAAGCACCGGCUAACUCCGUG
RNAcentral lists this ribosomal RNA (433 nucleotides) under uncultured bacterium. RNAcentral describes it as "partial 16S ribosomal RNA". It matches the Rfam family "Bacterial small subunit ribosomal RNA", at positions 29 to 507 of the family's 1533-position model. The record is from RNAcentral.